This 765-nucleotide long non-coding RNA is filed under the name Arachis ipaensis. RNAcentral describes it as "long non-coding RNA (AIPA_LNC002033)". The record is from RNAcentral. Lineage: Eukaryota; Viridiplantae; Streptophyta; Magnoliopsida; Fabales; Fabaceae.
AGUAACGGCGCUCUCGAUCUCCCUUUUCUCUCCUUCGUCUCCUCCGUGUAAAGAAGCUCUCCGACAACGCCGUUCUUCCCUCUCUGGCUUCUCCUCUCUCCGCCAGUUACCAUUUCUCUGAUCUAGGUACCUCUCCCUCUCAAGUUAUUGAUUUGUUUCUCUGCAGCUCCCUCUCAAAUUCUUUAGAGAAGGCGAAAUCGAAACUGAAAUUUUUGGUUUCUUCGAUCAAGGCAUGAGUCAGUCAUAGAUCUCUACACUGCACACCCAGUUUCCUUUCUCCAUUUCUCUCAUCCUUCACCUCCAUGCAACCUAACUCAGUCCAGAUCCACUAGUGCAACUUUUCUUCUUCUUCUUCUUUUCGUUUGAAUUUUGAAUUUUUUGCGCAGUUUUUGCAAUCGUCGUCGUUUUCACCGAUAUCUUGUGUCGGUUAAUCAUUGUCAUUUUUUAAAAUUCCUAAUUCCUAAUUAUUGUAAUUUAAAAUCCCUAAUUAUUUGAAGUUUCGUCAAAUCCUGAUUUUCCAAUUUCCAUGCUAGUUAUUUAUUCACAACAAUUAAUAAUUAUUAAUUAAUUAAUUAUUGUCACUGUUUGACCUCUCUUUUUUGUUUGUUUGUAGAAAAUCAAAAACAUGGUACCAGAGAGGCCGUGAAAGCUAGAUAGUCAGAUCGCUCAUGUCACUGUUUGACCUCUCUUUUUUGGGGAUUUUUGUUUCUCUGCAGCUCCGCAAUCAGGUCUUGUGUUGAAGCAUUCUAUUGACGUUUGAUAGGU